This 483-nucleotide ribosomal RNA is filed under the name uncultured Glomus. RNAcentral's name for it is "SSU rRNA". It matches the Rfam family "Eukaryotic small subunit ribosomal RNA", at positions 569 to 1057 of the family's 1831-position model. The record is from RNAcentral. Lineage: Eukaryota; Fungi; Glomeromycota; Glomeromycetes; Glomerales; Glomeraceae.
AGCAGCCGCGGUAAUUCCAGCUCCAAUAGCGUAUAUUAAAGUUGCUGCAGUUAAAAAGCUCGUAGUUGAAUUUCGGGACCAAUAUGUCGGUCGUGCUUCGGUACGUACUGUCAUUAUUGGUUUCUCCCUUCUGAAGAACCUUGAUGUCAUUAAUUUGGUGUCUUGGGGAAUCAGGACUGUUACUUUGAAAAAAUUAGAGUGUUUAAAGCAGGCUCGCGCUUGAAUACAUUAGCAUGGAAUAAUGAAAUAGGACGUUUGAUUCUAUUUUGUUGGUUUCUAGGAUCGACGUAAUGAUUAAUAGGGAUAGUUGGGGGCAUUAGUAUUCAAUUGUCAGAGGUGAAAUUCUUGGAUUUAUUGAAGACUAACUACUGCGAAAGCAUUUGCCAAGGAUGUUUUCAUUAAUCAAGAACGAAAGUUAGGGGAUCGAAGACGAUCAGAUACCGUCGUAGUCUUAACCAUAAACUAUGCCGACUAGGGAUCGGA